Molecule: ribosomal RNA, 494 nt
Filed under: uncultured bacterium
Lineage: Bacteria
Description: partial 16S ribosomal RNA
Rfam family: Bacterial small subunit ribosomal RNA
Source: RNAcentral
GACGAACGCUGGCGGCGUGCUUAACACAUGCAAGUCGAACGGUGAAGCGCCUUCCUUUUUGGUGGGUGUGGAUGAGUGGCGAACGGGUGAGUAACACGUGAGUAACCUGCCCCCUUCUUCUGGAUAACCGCAUGAAAGUGUGGCUAAUACGGGAUAUUCUGGGUCUGUCGCAUGAUGGGUCUGGGAAAGAUAUUGUUUCGGUGGGGGAUGGGCUCGCGGCCUAUCAGCUUGUUGGUGGGGUGAUGGCCUACCAAGGCGGUGACGGGUAGCCGGCCUGAGAGGGUGCACGGUCACACUGGGACUGAGACACGGCGCAGACUCAUACGGGAGGCAGCAGUGGGGAAAAUUGCACAAUGGGCGCAAGCAUGAUGCAGCGACGCCGCGUGAGGGAUGGAGGCCUUCGGGUUGUGAACCUCUUUCGCUAGUGAAGCAGGCCUGCCUCGUUUGUGGGUGGGUUGACGGUAGCUGGAUAAGAAGCGCCGGCUAACUACGUG